UAAUGGUUCACAGAGCUUUGUCUGAAGAUCUCCACCUCCUGCGGCCGCCGCCUGAACCUCCGCCGCCGAGAUGGAGGAGAAGCAUAUCGAACAAUAUUCUUGUCAGCGGCAUAAGGGUACGAUCUCUUAGAAUGUGAA
Molecule: non-coding RNA, 138 nt
Organism: Erythranthe guttata (spotted monkey flower)
Lineage: Eukaryota; Viridiplantae; Streptophyta; Magnoliopsida; Lamiales; Phrymaceae
Source: RefSeq, a predicted model, not a curated record